Molecule: ribosomal RNA, 470 nt
Filed under: uncultured bacterium
Lineage: Bacteria
Description: bacterial SSU rRNA
Rfam family: Bacterial small subunit ribosomal RNA
Source: RNAcentral
GAUUAACGCUGGCGGCGUGCCUAACACAUGCAAGUCGAACGAGGUAGCAAUACCUAGUGGCAGACGGGUGAGUAACGCGUGGUCAACCUACCCUUGUGUGGGGGAUAACUAGCCGAAAGGUUAGCUAAUACCGCAUACGUCGAGUCCGGGCAUCCGGAAACGAUAAAAGAAGCAAUUCGCACGAGGACGGGACCGCGUCCCAUUAGCUAGAUGGUGGGGUAACGGCCUACCAUGGCUCCGAUGGGUAGCUGGUUUGAGAGAGCGACCAGCCACACUGGGACUGAGAAACGGCCCAGACUCCUACGGGAGGCAGCAGUGAGGAAUUUUCCGCAAUGGGCGAAAGCCUGACGGAGCGACGCCGUGUGUGGGAAGAAGGCCCUCGGGUCGUAAACCACUGUCGAAGGGGAAGAUACUGACGGUACCCUUGGAGGAAGCCCCGGCUAACUACGUGCCAGCAGCCGCCGUAAAAC